AUGGCAGAAAUAUUUGUCAGCAAUGAGUAUAUUGUGACAUAUUUUUGCUAUACGAUCCUGAUGACCCAUGUAGAAGCAAAUUCCACUCUUGAUUGUUUGACCAUUAAUAUUCAACGCCACAAAUUCCUUGAAGGAGCAGGUCAGAAAAUGAGAAGACCGCCAGCAACGCCCCCUCCCACAGUUAAGAGACUAUACUCACAUUGCCCUACGUGAGCUAGCACAGCCAGUAUCAAUAUCUGCUUGCUAAGUAUGUGUGCAACAGAAGGCAAUCUGAACAUAAGAACAAAUUAAGACAGCCUAGAAAUUGCACAGAUGAAGAAUCUACAAACAAGGACAUUAAAGAAUAUUAAAGCAGCACAGAGAAGUUAUUUCCAAGAAUUCAAGAAGCUUCAAAAAACAAAAGUUACACCAACACUUGUGAAGCUGGCCUAAUACACAGCAUGUGCACAAACCAAGACUUAUGUGGCUGAUGGCACCUUUUCAUCCAGAGCUUUGUGGUGUUCAAAUAAGGACUUCAGUGCUUUCAGCACUUCCACUUCGCUGGACACGCCUGCUGGAGACUGCGCUUGUCUCUUCACCACGGUCAUCCUAAGAGACCGCUCAUGCCUGGAGACAAGGCAUUCCAAAUGCUCUAACAGCAGCUGAAAUAAAAGGCCAAAAUAAAGACUUGUUAAACAGCA
RNAcentral lists this long non-coding RNA (680 nucleotides) under Homo sapiens (human). Its description in RNAcentral is "HSALNT0363621". Lineage: Eukaryota; Metazoa; Chordata; Mammalia; Primates; Hominidae. The record is from RNAcentral.